GCGGCCUAUCAGCUUGUUGGUGGGGUGAUGGCCUACCAAGGCGACGACGGGUAGCCGGCCUGAGAGGGCGACCGGCCACACUGGGACUGAGACACGGCCCAGACUCCUACGGGAGGCAGCAGUGGGGAAUAUUGCACAAUGGGCGGAAGCCUGAUGCAGCGACGCCGCGUGAGGGAUGACGGCCUUCGGGUUGUAAACCUCUUUCGACAGGGACGAAGCGCGAGUGACGGUACCUGGAGAAGAAGCGCCGGCCAACUACGUGCCAGCAGCCGCGGUAAGACGUAGGGCGCGAGCGUUGUCCGGAUUUAUUGGGCGUAAAGAGCUCGUAGGCGGCUCGUUGCGUCGGCUGUGAAAACCCGCAGCUCAACUGUGGGCUUGCAGCCGAUACGGGCGGGCUUGAGUUCGGUAGGGGAGACUGGAAUUCCUGGUGUAGCGGUGAAAUGCGCAGAUAUCAGGAGGAACACCGGUGGCGAAGGCGGGUCUCUGGGCCGAAACUGACGCUGAGGAGCGAAAGCGUGGGGAGCGAACAGGAUUAGAUACCCUGGUAGUCCACGCUGUAAACGUUGGGCGCUAGGUGUGGGGGGCCUCUCCGGUUUCCUGUGCCGCAGCUAACGCAUUAAGCGCCCCGCCUGGGGAGUACGG
RNAcentral lists this ribosomal RNA (642 nucleotides) under uncultured bacterium. RNAcentral describes it as "bacterial SSU rRNA". It matches the Rfam family "Bacterial small subunit ribosomal RNA", at positions 233 to 885 of the family's 1533-position model. The record is from RNAcentral.